Molecule: long non-coding RNA, 526 nt
Organism: Micropterus dolomieu (smallmouth bass)
Lineage: Eukaryota; Metazoa; Chordata; Actinopteri; Centrarchiformes; Centrarchidae
Exons: 2
Source: RefSeq, a predicted model, not a curated record
UGGGUGCGACAGCCAGAGAAACAGUAUCUGCAGUAGUUUUUUUAACUAAUCCCUUUCCGGGGGAAGCACUGUCUGCUGCUGCUGCUGCACUAGUCUGGGACUUUGCUCUCUGCCAAGCACACAGUAAUGUAUCGCUCUAUUAAUCUACAUCCCUGUAGUAAUGGGAAAGAGUUUUAUUACAGCCACCACUGGAGUCUCAUUACAGGAGCCAGGCUAACCUGUGAUGCUGAUUUUGGCAGACCACUUGGAGGUCCCAUCCAGAACAGCCUGCUUGGCUGUCUUCAGAUGGCUGUUGAAGUCUUCUUUGGAGAUGUGGAACAUCUCCUGGAUCACCUCGAACACUUCAGGACGGUUCUUCUCCCUUAUCUUCAUGCGCUCCUUCAUAGCCAUGAUGAUAUUCUGGGUCUUGUCCUCUGCCCCGUGCUUAGAGCUCUUCUCCACUGCCCCUGAAACAAGCCAAGAGCAUUUAGGUGUUUAUUAAUUAAUUAAUACCCAUGAAUUGGAAUAAAAACUGGUGAUCCAUUGA